Molecule: unclassified non-coding RNA, 350 nt
Filed under: soil metagenome
Description: partial contains 5.8S ribosomal RNA, internal transcribed spacer 2, and large subunit ribosomal RNA
Rfam family: 5.8S ribosomal RNA (bases 1-120)
Source: RNAcentral
GAUGAAGAACGUAGCGAACUGCGAUAAGUAAUGUGAAUUGCAGAAUUCAGUGAAUCAUCGAGUCUUUGAACGCACAUUGCGCCCCCUGGCAUUCCGGGGGGCAUGCCUGUCCGAGCGUCAUUGCUGCCCUUCAAGCCCGGCUUGUGUGUUGGGUCGUCGUCCCCCCCGGGGGACGGGCCCGAAAGGCAGCGGCGGCACCGCGUCCGGUCCUCGAGCGUAUGGGGCUUUGUCACCCGCUCGAUUAGGGCCGGCCGGGCGCCAGCCGGCGUCUCCAACCUUCUAUUUUACCAGGUUGACCGCGGAUCAGGUAGGGAUACCCGCUGAACUUAAGCAUAUCAAUAAGCGGAGGA